UCAAAAUUAUGCUUUUCAAUCGCGACUGCGACGCAAUGCAUGUGCCGUUCUUAUAACCUCGAAGAAACUUGUAAACUUGAAAACGAUAUUGUUCCUCCAAACAAUAUGGAUUUCUUCAUGGUCAAACUCAAAUAAAUAUAUACUGAGCAGCACUGGAAAUUUCCAUCAUUUGAUAAAAUCACUUUCAUCUGGACGAAUAGAUGAGCGAUUGCGACGACGCUCUUCGAUCAAUGAAACAUUUUUAAGCAGAUCCUCGAGCCUCGUCGAAGUUGGAUCGGCAAAGAAAUGAAUUUUCCUGUCUCCGGGUUUGCUGACACAUGCUGCGAACCUUUUUGUUGACGACAUCAGUCUUUAACGCACUCUUCUGUAAUAAUCCAAAUUCCAACUUUGUUAAUUGUGCCAAAAAAGUUUGCAGACGAAAAUGUUCAGAAUGAUCAAAUUUAAGCUUCCACUUACCUUUAUUUUUCAUCUCCGACUCCCAGAAAUAUUCCGUUGUCUUCUUUGACAUUUGAAAAUAGUAUACGAUGCGGUAAAUUAGGAGGCACACAAAAAAAAAUAUGAGAAGUACUCUAAAAAUUUCUUUGUCAAUGUUUGGAUUGAAUGUUGGUGUUCUGAUGUGCGUCAUACUGUGGCUGAGAAAAAAGGAUUUGAAUAACGUUGGAUCGAUGACUGCAGGACGAAUGAAUAUAAGCCAGAGAUACCAUCGGUCUAAGGCCACCGUUGCAAUGAACUUGCAGCAAUAAUAUUUCUAACCAGAGCCUGGAACUUCUGUUCUCCAACCCCCACUCAAUGCGAAUUUUGAUGAGGGGAUCAGAGAUCCAGGGAUAGAAAUGAGACUGGGAGUACGCUUAAAACAUGAAAUCAGAUUCAUCUUUGACUCCUUGCCCCUGUAGAAGAAUCUCACUCUGUUCGUUAACAUUUUUUCCACAGUUUUUAUGAACUCCGUCAUAGUUAAAGGGUGCGUGACCUUCCAGGGUGUUUUCCCCUGGGAGCGUUGGAGAUACAGCGGAAGUCCAUGGGACUAAAUUUGUAGAGGAUUCAAUUUGCUUUGAAAAAGCUGCUGACAGCUUUCCUCCAUCUCUGGAAGUUUAACAGUGCGAACGCUUCGUAAAAUACCAGAUUGCUUGCAACGAUUCAGGAUUCUGCAUGAAGCAAACUUUCUUCUUUACUUCUUUUCGAAAAUCAAUCAUUCCACGUUAGGAAUGCGGUUAAAAACAUUGGAAGAAAAAUCACACUUUGAAGAUAUUUAUUCAAUGACUUUGUCAAAGAUUUUACAUUGGUGCGUACAAUUCGCUUUAUUCUAAGCACAGAUCUCACUGCUCAAGGGUUAGUAAUAACUCGGAUUAGUGGUUAAUAACGUUGAAGGCUAAAAACAUCUGAAAUUCGACAUUUUUUUUUUUUUAAUUAGGAUAUAAAGAAUUGAAAAUUGCUGAGAUUCGUUCCCAUCGCAUGAGCAUAAAAAUUAAAAA
Venturia canescens is the source of this 1469-nucleotide long non-coding RNA. RefSeq lists it as uncharacterized. The record is from RefSeq and is a predicted model, not a curated record. Lineage: Eukaryota; Metazoa; Arthropoda; Insecta; Hymenoptera; Ichneumonidae. The transcript has 3 exons.